UACAGAGGGGGCAAGCGUUGUUCGGAAUUACUGGGCGUAAAGGGCGCGUAGGCGGCCCUCUAAGUCGAACGUGAAAUCCCCGGGCUCAACCCGGGAACUGCGUCCGAUACUGGAAGGCUUGAAUCCGGGAGAGGGAUGCGGAAUUCCAGGUGUAGCGGUGAAAUGCGUAGAUAUCUGGAGGAACACCGGUGGCGAAGGCGGCAUCCUGGACCGGCAUUGACGCUGAGGCGCGAAAGCUGGGGGAGCGAACGGG
RNAcentral lists this ribosomal RNA (253 nucleotides) under uncultured bacterium. RNAcentral's name for it is "partial 16S ribosomal RNA". It matches the Rfam family "Bacterial small subunit ribosomal RNA", at positions 524 to 776 of the family's 1533-position model. The record is from RNAcentral.